This is a long non-coding RNA of Patella vulgata (common limpet), 2387 nucleotides long. RefSeq lists it as uncharacterized. The transcript has 4 exons. The record is from RefSeq and is a predicted model, not a curated record. NCBI's taxonomy places the organism in Eukaryota, Metazoa, Mollusca, Gastropoda, Patellidae.
UGAAUGUGCACAGUGUAUUGUAAUACUAUAUUUAAAUAAAGGUGUCGUAACAACAUGUCGACUGGACAGAUUAUUGUACGUUUUAUCGAACACAUAGAUGUAUUCAUUUAGUUAUUUUGUUGAAGACUAAAUUUGUGUUAUUUAAUUUUAGUUUUACCUGGUUAACUAUAACCCGUAGAAUCGAAUCAAUAUUUAGUAAUGGCCGCGGUGUUCAAUAUAACGCUGUAUCUAUCCUGUUUAUACUCGUUUAUACAAGUUGGUACAGCCUUUAACUGUGACUAUUAUGAAUCCGCUACCAGUUCAAAGUCUAGGUAUUGUCCCUAUGGCUGCUGUAUUACCGGAAGUGACGCCACAUAUUUUGAUGUAUGCUGCACUAACAGUUACAACUCUAAUAUCGGUAUCAUCAUCAUUGUUAGUGUAGUGGCAUCAGUUGUCAUUAUCGUGGUUGCCAUAGUUAUUAUUGUAUGUUGUUGCUGUAGGCGAAAAUCUGCUGACGGUCAGGUUGCUACAACCCCGAACAAAGCUGUUGUAUAUUCUAAUAAUGUUGAACAAAGCACGAUUCAUCCAGGGAUUGGUUAUCCUCCAUCAAUUGAUUUUAACUUUCAACCAUAUCACUCACGAAAAGAUAACUCAUCACUAUCUCCAACUGACUAUUCUGACCCACCACCAUCUUGUGAUACAUUUACCUCCCCUGGACAAACUAAUAAGGGCUUUGAGACUGUGGUUUAAUCUUAAACCGCCCGUGAUCUCCGAAGGUUUUGUUCAUCAACUAUACACAAUGGUAAUAAAGUAUCAUAACACCCCUAUCUGAAUAUGGUGCUAUUGUUUAAUCAGAUUUGUGCGCCGAGUUACGUUCUCCGAGGACAUACAUACUAAACAAGCAAAAAUGCCAAAAACUGAUAUAUAAGGAGAAGAUUUAAUGUGAUUCCGCCAAGUUCAAAAAAUGAACCAAAUUCAAACACAUAUGGCUUGUAUAGGUCAAUGGGAAAUCCUACAGUUCAACUCAUUUCAUUACAUGUUGGUCAUAAAACAGUAUUGUGUAACAUUUCAUUUAGACCAGUUUUAGCAUGGGCAGAGAAUUGUUUAGUGUAUUAACUGUUUAUAGACAGAGAACGGUGUAGCAUAAUUAACUGUAUAGAAAGAGAAAUGCUUAUUAUAUUAACUGUAUAUAGACAGCAAACUGUUUAUUAUAUUAAUUGUGUAUAGACAGAUGAUGGUUUAUUAUAUUAACUGUAUACAGACAGGGAACUGUUUAUUCUAUUUUAAAUAUGUAUAUACAGGUAGCGGUUUAUUAUAUAAACUGUUUAUAGACAGAGAACUGUUUAUUAUAUAAACUGUAUAUAGCCAGAGAACGUCUUAAUAUUUUAAUAUUCUUUAUAUUUCCCGGUGAUUUGCUGUUAUCGGCGCCGUCCACGAUAUAUUUAAUGAAAAGGAAACUUCAAUCACUGUAUGAUUUUAAAGAGAUGGAAAUAUUUAACCUUAUUGAAUCCACACAGUUGAUUUGUAAGUAAUUCACAGAUCCAGCUAUGUGGUUUUUACUACGAGGACUUCUCUUUAAACAUACAUUAUGCAAGAGCUAAAUCUGCCAAUUGCAGGUCUUUCGUUAGGGCUGAAAUGUUAUCUAAAUUAUUAAUUAGAUAUUAAUUAACUUAUCCAGGCCAUAAUCAACUCUCGAUGGCAUCGGAUUUCUCCGAUAUUAAAUAGAUGAGAACAGUUCAGCCAUAUUUUGAUUUAAGCUAAAAAUUGAGGAGCGAGAAAUAGCUUCGGAUAACCAGUACCGUGGUUGAAAUUAUUGCACACGUCUUGUCAAAUCUGCAAAGGCUAAUAUCUUCGCUCGCAAUAGAGUAUUUAUCUAUGUUCGAACUAUCAUAGCAAGAAUGGCUAGCUCUUUAUCGACAUCUUACAAAAUGAUGAUACUAAACAUCAAUCAACAUCAAUCAGGUCAUUUUGGGAUUGAGUCAACUGGUGGGGUUUCGAUUCCCCGGUUGUACGUGCCAACCUCUUGGGUUUUGUUCGGGUCCCCCUGUUUCCUCUCACUGCUAAAGACCCCUACGCGCAAGCGGAUAUUGAAAUAAAAUUGAACCAUGUGUUGGUCUCAAAAUAACCUAGUUUGUGUCGAUUGGACGUUAAACGCCAUUUCUCACCCUCUCUCGGUUUUAAAAACAUUUCUCACCCUCUCUCGGUUUUAAAGACAUUUCUCAAGCUUGUAAACACGACAUGUAAUGUAAAUGACGAUAUUGGACUAAUUCCUGCACUGCUGUGAAAAUUAAUGGCAUAAGACUUUUGGUAGACUAUUAGCCGGCAAUUAAUUUGAAGGAAAGCCUGUUUUUAUAAGUUUAUGUAACUUUUGUACGAUCCAUUUAUUUUCUGGUAAUAAAAUAUGUUUA